CUAAUACAGAGUUAGCUCCUUCUAUGGCAGUUUCUACCAGAGUGUGUUUUGUAUUUGUUUAAUUUGCACUAUGCCCUGAGCUAACUUGGGUUGCUUUGAAGGUGGUGUAUUUUUCAUUGUUAUUUAUUUUAUUAUUCUUAUUUGUUAAUGAAAGGGGCUGCAGUUCUAGAAAUACAGCUAGUGAAAACAAGAAUGAAUUGGAAUGGUCAUCUAGGUUACUAAGAAUUUGAGCCAAUAAUUUAAAGCCAUUGUGACACACAGCUAGACUAGAAUUCUCCACCUCCCUGAAAGGGGAUUGUCAUGUAACUGAGUUCUAGCCCAUAGGAAGAGGGAGGGAGUGAUGCCUGCUAUCUCAAAGCUACAGGAACAAUUCCCGUGCAUGUUCCUUCAUGCUCCUCCCUCUGGAUGGCCGAAACAAGAAGACUCCCAAGGGACACUGAAGCCACACGCUAAAGAUGGAGAGCCUCCAUCAACCUGAAUUCCUGAAGGACUGAAUGGAAGAAGGCCACCCUCCCAAUCUGCUCACCUCUCCAGCAUUGUUACAUAAGCAAGAAAUAAUCUCUCGUGUGUCAGCAAUUGUGUAACUUGGAUUCUGUUUAGUAAAGCGUUUAGCCAACUCUAACUUAUAUAAUA
This is a long non-coding RNA of Galeopterus variegatus (Sunda flying lemur), 633 nucleotides long. RefSeq lists it as uncharacterized. NCBI's taxonomy places the organism in Eukaryota, Metazoa, Chordata, Mammalia, Dermoptera, Cynocephalidae. The transcript is spliced from 2 exons. The record is from RefSeq and is a predicted model, not a curated record.